GUUAAACUGAAGAAAAUGAAGUACUCUUUUCAGUUGUGGACCACAAUGAUGUCCCUCUAACACGGCCUUUCAACUUUGCUUACACAGGUGUCUUCAGUGCCCUGGGUUUGCCUGUGACCCAAUGCCCACUGGGACUGAAUGCCAAAGGACUCCCUCUAGGCAUCCAGGUUGUGGCUGGACCCUUUAAUGAUCAUCUGACCCUGGCUGUGGCCCAGUACUUGGAGAAAACUUUUGGGGGCUGGGUCUGUCCAGGAAAGUUUUAGGAGGACCUUCUGCAAGGUUAAUGUGUGUGUGUGUGUGUUUGUGUGGUGGUGUUUCUAUUAAUUGGGUGAAAUCAAGCACCAGCAGACAAGCAGAGAAACAACUGGGAAAUGUAUUGACUCAUUUAGUUAUUCUUUCUUCUUUUAUUUCCUUCUCUAACUGUUGGUCUUACUAAAAUGGUAAUAUUUGCUUCUUGCUUUUUUGUUACUGGAAAAUUAGGACAUGUAAACGGAUAAGUGCAAUAAAGUUUCCUAGAUGCUG
RNAcentral lists this small RNA (522 nucleotides) under Pongo abelii (Sumatran orangutan). RNAcentral describes it as "processed transcript". Lineage: Eukaryota; Metazoa; Chordata; Mammalia; Primates; Hominidae. The record is from RNAcentral.